RNAcentral lists this ribosomal RNA (1005 nucleotides) under Triticum aestivum (bread wheat). RNAcentral's name for it is "partial small subunit ribosomal RNA". Lineage: Eukaryota; Viridiplantae; Streptophyta; Magnoliopsida; Poales; Poaceae. The record is from RNAcentral.
CUACACCGCCUCCCGGAGGACAUCGUGGUGUGGGAGAUCCUCGUCCGCCUCCCUGCCAGGGACAUCCUCCGCUGCCGUGCGCUCUGCCGCUCCUGGAGCCGCCUCGCCUCCGCCCCCGAUUUCCUCCUCGCCCACCACCGGCGUCAGCCGUCGCUCCCCCUCGCCGUGCUCUACGGCGGCACGGCCAGUUCAAGUACAGAGGCUGGCCACCGAGUUUUGGGGCGAGGCGAUGGCUGCAUGCUGCACGCCUCCUGCGACGGCCUCCUCCUGCUAAGCAUGUCUAACGGCUGCUUCAGCAUCUGCAACCCAGCCACGCGUCAGUGCGCUUCACUCCCGGACCUCCCCACCCCAGGUUACAUCAAAAUUGCGGCACUGUACUUGCAUCGCAAGUCCCGCGAGUACCGUGUCCUUUACCGGAAAGCAGCUGUGUACUACAUCCUUACGGUGCCGGUGGGCUCGCCGAGCUGCAUCGUGGUUCCUUCGGAUAGCCCUGGCAUGAAGCUAUGUUAUUUGGCCCCACCCGUCGUGUUCCGCAAUCACCUUCACUGGGGACCUGAUUGGCCUCACUACGAUGUCGGCCUACUUGUUUUCGACACAGUGGUCGAGUCAUUUAGGUCCAUGCGCUGCCCGGCUGGUGCUACCGGCAGCUCCGCUCAUCUGCGUGACAUGGAAGGUUCGAUUGGCUUCAGUUGGUUAGACUAUUUGAGGUCAGUCGUCACAAUCUGGGUACUGGAGGACUACGAGAGGGAGGUCUGGGCAUUCAAGUACCAUGUUAAAUUCCCAUUCCCAGCGGAGAUCUUGUGUCGCAGUAGCAUUGCAUAUACAUGCCAUUGCGUUUUGUCCCAUGAGGGAGAUGUGCUGGUCUACAGUAUUUGUGACUGUCGGAUCUUCCACUGUGACGGCGACGGCAAGUUGCUAGAGGAAUUCCGGUGGGAAUACAACUCACAACGUUUGAAAAUUAUUGGACACAAGUUUAAAGAAAGCCUCGUCGAGCAUGAAUUGUUC